Molecule: ribosomal RNA, 33 nt
Filed under: Cytospora schulzeri
Lineage: Eukaryota; Fungi; Ascomycota; Sordariomycetes; Diaporthales; Cytosporaceae
Description: partial 28S ribosomal RNA
Source: RNAcentral
CUCGGAUCAGGUAGGAAUACCCGCUGAACUUAA